UGCAAGUCGAGCGGAUCUUUAGAAGCUUGCUUCUAAAGAUUAGCGGCGGACGGGUGAGUAACACGUGGGCAACCUGCCUGUAAGACUGGGAUAACUUCGGGAAACCGGAGCUAAUACCGGAUAAUCUGUUCCCUCGCAUGAGGGAAUGCUGAAAGACGGCUUACGCUGUCACUUACAGAUGGGCCCGCGGCGCAUUAGCUAGUUGGUGAGGUAACGGCUCACCAAGGCGACGAUGCGUAGCCGACCUGAGAGGGUGAUCGGCCACACUGGGACUGAGACACGGCCCAGACUCCUACGGGAGGCAGCAGUAGGGAAUCUUCCGCAAUGGACGAAAGUCUGACGGAGCAACGCCGCGUGAGCGAAGAAGGCCUUCGGGUCGUAAAGCUCUGUUGUUAGGGAAGAACAAGUAUCGGAGUAACUGCCGGUACCUUGACGGUACCUAACCAGAAAGCCACGGCUAACUACGUGCCAGCAGCCGCGGUAAUACGUAGGUGGCAAGCG
Molecule: ribosomal RNA, 501 nt
Filed under: soil bacterium S57D1
Lineage: Bacteria
Description: bacterial SSU rRNA
Rfam family: Bacterial small subunit ribosomal RNA
Source: RNAcentral